GUCGAGCGAGAAAGUGACUUCGGUCGCGAGUAAAGCGGCGAACGGGUGAGUACAACGUGGAUAAUCUACCCUAGGGUCUGGGACAACCCCGAGAAAUCGGGGCUAAUACCGGAUAAGACCACAGUAUCCAAGGAUACAGCGGUAAAAGAUUUAUCGCCUUUGGAUGAGUCCACGCCCCAUCAGGUAGUUGGUAAGGUAAAGGCUUACCAAGCCUAAGACGGGUAGCCGGCCUUAGCGGGUGAACGGCCACAUGGGGACUGAGACACGGCCCUGACUCCUACGGGAGGCAGCAGUGGGGAAUAUUGGGCAAUGGGCGAAAGCCUGACCCAGCGAUGCCGCGUGAGGGAUGAAGGCCUUCGGGUUGUAAACCUCUGUCAGGAGGGACGAUGGGACACUUGUGUCUUGACGGUACCUCCAGAGGAAGCCCCGGCUAACUCCGUGCCAGCAGCCGCGGUAAUACGGAGGGGGCAAGCGUUGCUCGGAAUUACUGGGCGUAAAGGGUCCGCAGGCUGUCAGGCAAGUUGGUUGUGAAAUCCCAAGGCUUAACCUUGGAAUUGCAUCCAAAACUGCCUGACUAGAGUCCAAGAGAGGUUGGCGGAAUUCCCGGUGUAGCGGUGAAAUGCAUAGAUAUCGGGAGGAACACCAGAGGCGAAGGCGGCCAACUGGCUUGGUACUGACGCUCAGGGACGAAAGCGUGGGUAGCAAACCGGAUUAGAUACCCGGGUAGUCCACGCCCUAAACGAUGGAUGCUAGGUAGGGGGAAUUUAAUUCUCCCUGCCGUAGUUAACGCAUUAAGCAUCCCGCCUGGGGAGUACGGUCGCAAGGCUGAAACUCAAAGGAAUUGGCGGGGGCCCGCACAAGCGGUGGAGCACGUGGUUUAAUUCGAUGCUAAGCGAAAA
RNAcentral lists this ribosomal RNA (899 nucleotides) under uncultured delta proteobacterium. Its description in RNAcentral is "bacterial SSU rRNA". It matches the Rfam family "Bacterial small subunit ribosomal RNA", at positions 61 to 967 of the family's 1533-position model. The record is from RNAcentral. Lineage: Bacteria; Deltaproteobacteria.